CCUACGGGCGGCUGCAGUGGGGAAUAUUGGGCCAUGGAGGCCACUCUGACCCCGCAACGCCGCGUGAAUGAUGAAGGUCUUCGGAUUGUAAAGUUCUGUGAUGGGGGAUGAACACAAUGACGGUACCCCACUAGCAAGCCACGGCUAACUACGUGCCAGCAGCCGCGGUAAUACGUAGGUGGCAAGCGUUAUCCGGAAUGACUGGGCGGAAAGGGUGCGUAGGUGGUUUAGUAAGUUGGCGGUGUAAUUCCGGGGCUCAACCUCGGCGCUACCGCCAAAACUAUUAGACUAGAGUGCAGGAGGGGUAAGUGGAAUUCCUAGUGUAGCGGUGGAAUGCGUAGAGAUUAGGAGGAACAUCAGGGGCGAAGGCGACUUACGGGACUGUAACUGACACUGAGGCACGAAAGCGUGGGGAGCAAACAGGAUUAGAUACCCGAGUAGUC
This 443-nucleotide ribosomal RNA is filed under the name uncultured bacterium. RNAcentral describes it as "partial 16S ribosomal RNA". It matches the Rfam family "Bacterial small subunit ribosomal RNA", at positions 338 to 795 of the family's 1533-position model. The record is from RNAcentral.